UGGGGAAUAUUGGACAAUGGGCGCAAGCCUGAUCCAGCCAUGCCGCGCGAGUGAUGAAGGCCCUAGGGUUGUAAAGCUCUUUCGCCAGGGACGAUAAUGACGGUACCUGGAUAAGAAGCCCCGGCUAACUUCGUGCCAGCAGCCGCGGUAAUACGAAGGGGGCUAGCGUUGUUCGGAAUCACUGGGCGUAAAGCGCACGUAGGCGGAUCUUUAAGUCAGGGGUGAAAUCCCGAGGCUCAACCUCGGAACUGCCUUUGAUACUGGAGGUCUCGAGUCCGGGAGAGGUGAGUGGAACUGCGAGUGUAGAGGUGAAAUUCGUAGAUAUUCGCAAGAACACCAGUGGCGAAGGCGGCUCACUGGCCCGGUACUGACGCUGAGGUGCGAAAAGCGUGGGGAGCAAACAGGAUUAGAUACCCUGGUAGUCCACGCCGUAAACUAUGGAUGCUAGCCGUUGGGCAGCUUGCUGUUCAGUGGCGCAGCUAACGCUUUAAGCAUCCCGCCUGGGGAGUACGGUCGCAAGAUUAAAACUUAAAUGAAUUGACGGGGUCAUAGCUGUUUCCU
This 561-nucleotide ribosomal RNA is filed under the name uncultured bacterium. RNAcentral's name for it is "partial 16S ribosomal RNA". It matches the Rfam family "Bacterial small subunit ribosomal RNA", at positions 355 to 1375 of the family's 1533-position model. The record is from RNAcentral.